GAAUAUUGCACAAUGGGGGAAACCCUGAUGCAGCGACGCCGCGUGGAGGAAGAAGGUCUUCGGAUUGUAAACUCCUGUUGUUGAGGAAGAUAAUGACGGUACUCAACAAGGAAGUGACGGCUAACUACGUGCCAGCAGCCGCGGUAAAACGUAGGUCACAAGCGUUGUCCGGAAUUACUGGGUGUAAAGGGAGCGCAGGCGGGAGAACAAGUUGGAAGUGAAAUCCAUGGGCUCAACCCAUGAACUGCUUUCAAAACUGUUUUUCUUGAGUAGUGCAGAGGUAGGCGGAAUUCCCGGUGUAGCGGUGGAAUGCGUAGAUAUCGGGAGGAACACCAGUGGCGAAGGCGGCCUACUGGGCACCAACUGACGCUGAGGCUCGAAAGUGUGGGUAGCAAACAGGAUUAGAUACCCUGGUAGUCCACACCGUAAACGAUGAUUACUAGGUGUUGGAGGAUUGACCCCUUCAGUGCGGCAGUUAACACAAUAAGUAAUCCACCUGGGGAGUACGAA
This 510-nucleotide ribosomal RNA is filed under the name uncultured bacterium. Its description in RNAcentral is "bacterial SSU rRNA". It matches the Rfam family "Bacterial small subunit ribosomal RNA", at positions 359 to 886 of the family's 1533-position model. The record is from RNAcentral.